GAUGAAGAACGCAGCGAAAUGCGAUAAGUAGUGUGAAUUGCAGAAUUCAGUGAAUCAACGAAUCUUUGAACGCACAUUGCGCCCUUUGGUAUUCCUUAGGGCAUGCCUGUUCGAGCGUCAUUUAAACCUUCAAGCUAAGCUUGGUGUUGGGUGACUGUCCGCUUCACGGCGGACUCGCCUCAAAAUUAUUGGCGGCCGGUACAUUGGCUUCGAGCGCAGCAGAAACGCGAACUCGGGCCCGUCGUAUUGGCUCCCAGAAGCUAUCUUCACAAUUUUGACCUCGGAUCAGGUAGGGAUACCCGCUGAACUUAAGCAUAUCAAUAAGCGGAGGA
This 332-nucleotide unclassified non-coding RNA is filed under the name soil metagenome. RNAcentral describes it as "partial contains 5.8S ribosomal RNA, internal transcribed spacer 2, and large subunit ribosomal RNA". The stretch from base 1 to 120 matches the Rfam family "5.8S ribosomal RNA", at positions 35 to 154 of the family's 154-position model. The record is from RNAcentral.